Molecule: transfer RNA, 64 nt
Filed under: Breviscolex orientalis
Lineage: Eukaryota; Metazoa; Platyhelminthes; Cestoda; Caryophyllidea; Capingentidae
Description: tRNA-Trp
Source: RNAcentral
GUCUCAGUAAGUUAUUAAGACUAGGUGUUUUCAAAACACCAAGAGAAGGGGGUGUCCUGGGAAG